GGGGUUGUAGCUCAGCGGUAGAGCGCUCAUCCAGCAUGUGCGAGGCCCUGUGUUCGAUACUCAGCACCACA
Molecule: transfer RNA, 71 nt
Filed under: Marmota monax (woodchuck)
Lineage: Eukaryota; Metazoa; Chordata; Mammalia; Rodentia; Sciuridae
Description: tRNA.Ala
Source: RNAcentral